UACGUAGGUGGCAAGCGUUGUCCGGAAUCACUGGGCGUAAAGGGCGCGUAGGUGGCCCGUGGAAGUCUGCGGUGAAAGCCCGGCGCUCAACGCCGGGUCGGCCGUGGAUACUCUCGGGCUUGAGCUUACUAGAGGCAGAUGGAAUUCCGGGUGUAGCGGUGGAAUGCGUAGAGAUCCGGAAGAACACCGGUGGCGAAGGCGGUCUGCUGGGGUAAUGCUGACACUGAUGCGCGACAGCGUGGGGAGCAAACAGG
RNAcentral lists this ribosomal RNA (254 nucleotides) under uncultured bacterium. Its description in RNAcentral is "partial 16S ribosomal RNA". It matches the Rfam family "Bacterial small subunit ribosomal RNA", at positions 524 to 776 of the family's 1533-position model. The record is from RNAcentral.